This 616-nucleotide ribosomal RNA is filed under the name uncultured cyanobacterium. RNAcentral's name for it is "bacterial SSU rRNA". It matches the Rfam family "Bacterial small subunit ribosomal RNA", at positions 122 to 770 of the family's 1533-position model. The record is from RNAcentral. Lineage: Bacteria; Bacillati; Cyanobacteriota.
GAAUCUGCCUUCUGGUCGGGGACAACCACUGGAAACGGUGGCUAAUACCGGAUGAGCCGAAGGGUAAAAGAUUAAUUGCCAGAAGAGGAGCUCGCGUCUGAUUAGCUAGUUGGUAGGGUAAAAGCCUACCAAGGCAUCGAUCAGUAGCUGGUCUGAGAGGACGAUCAGCCACACUGGGACUGAGACACGGCCCAGACUCCUACGGGAGGCAGCAGUGGGGAAUUUUCCGCAAUGGGCGAAAGCCUGACGGAGCAAGACCGCGUGAGGGAAGAAGGCUCUUGGGUCGUAAACCUCUUUUGUUAGGGAAGAACACAAUGACGGUACCUAACGAAUCAGCCUCGGCUAACUCCGUGCCAGCAGCCGCGGUAAUACGGAGGAGGCAAGCGUUAUCCGGAAUUAUUGGGCGUAAAGCGUCCGCAGGUGGCGAUUCAAGUCUGCGGUCAAAGACUGGGGCUUAACCCUGGAAAGGCCGUGGAAACUGAAAAGCUAGAGUGCAGUAGGGGUAGAGGGAAUUCCCGGUGUAGCGGUGAAAUGCGUAGAGCUCGGGAAGAACAUCGGUGGCGAAAGCGCUCUGCUGGACUGCAACUGACACUCAGGGACGAAAGCUAGGGGAGCG